Molecule: long non-coding RNA, 489 nt
Organism: Paramormyrops kingsleyae
Lineage: Eukaryota; Metazoa; Chordata; Actinopteri; Osteoglossiformes; Mormyridae
Source: RefSeq, a predicted model, not a curated record
CUGAUAGCUUAACCAGAGAAAUGUGCACUGAUACACUGUUAAGAGAAAAGAAAGAAUGAAAAAACACUGCUGGGACACAGGGACCGUGCUCGGGUGGGAACCUCUAAAACAGCACUGCAGGCUCACAGUGAGGCCCGGCCCAGAGGGUCACUGUUUCCUGUCGGAUCAAGGCUGCCCAUCGGAACGGCUUUGAGGGAAUGAUGGACACAUUCCAAGCUGGGUGUAUUUGGCUCACUUCCAAGAUUUCUCUUACGUAAAAGUUACUCUCAGCUCCAAGGACUAAGUUAAGGAUCAGCGUGAGAGACAAGCUGUUUCACUCAAAAUAGAUUUUCCUCAACUAUACCUAAAUUAUAUCUGUCAUAUAAGUAUAGCCAUAUAUAAGAAUUCAUUAAGAGAGAUAUGUUGUUUCUCACUGGUGUAACUGGACAUCAAUGGUUCAUUUUAUGAAAAAGCUUAGGUCGUUCAUUUAAACAAGUACACUGUAUAUCU